AUGGCCAACCGGCCGGGUCCACCACAUUGUGAACGUGAUAGAGCGGCUAACAAAGUCGCGCAUAAGUCAACACUCGAUUUACGCGAGAACUUGCGCCAAAAAUUCGGCGCGACUAGAUCCAUCUAUGGAUCUAGGAAGUGCACUAUGGUACAAAACCAAAAUCGAACACUACAACCAUCCGAACACCAUGGCACAUCCCAAUACAGGGGUGCCGCACACCCCUUAUGGUUCACUGAUGAGGUGUUGGAUCACGAAUGCCCAGAAGGAUUCAAACCGGUGAACAUAGAGGCGUACGACGGGACCACAGACCCUGGAGUCUGGAUCGAGGACUUUAUCCUCCAUAUUCAUAUGGCUCGCGGAGACGAUCUCCAUGCCAUUAAAUACUUGCCCCUCAAGCUUAAGGGGUCAGCUCGGCACUGGCUGAAAAGCCUCCCCGAAAACUCAAUUGGAAGUUGGGAGGAGCUCGAGGAUGCUUUUCGGGCUAAUUUUCAAGGGACUUGUGUCCGACCUCCGGAUGCAGACGAUUUAAGUCAUAUAAUCCAACAGUCCGGAGAGUCCGCCCGAAAGCUUUGGAAUAGGUUCCUCACUAAGAAGAACCAAAUCGUCGACUGUCCGGACGCCGAAGCCUUAGCAGCUUUUAAACACAGCGUCCGAGACGAAUGGCUCGCCAGACACCUCGGCCAAGAAAAACCGAGAACAAUGGCAGCCCUAACAAGCCUCAUGACCCGCUUUUGUGCGGGCAAAGACGGCUGGUUGGCCCGUAGCAGCACCAGCAACCCAAGCACAUCCGAAGUCAGGGAUGGCAAUGGUAAACCAUGA
Molecule: ribosomal RNA, 819 nt
Filed under: Triticum aestivum (bread wheat)
Lineage: Eukaryota; Viridiplantae; Streptophyta; Magnoliopsida; Poales; Poaceae
Description: partial small subunit ribosomal RNA
Source: RNAcentral